ACGCACGCUGGCGGCCGGCUUCACCCCUGCAAGUCGCGCGAGACCUUCGGGUCUAGCGGCGGACGGGUGAGUAACGCGUGGGAACGUGCCCUUCUCUACGGAAUAGCCCCGGGAAACUGGGAGUAAUACCGUAUACGCCCUUUGGGGGAAAGAUUUAUCGGAGAAGGAUCGGCCCGCGUUGGAUUAGGUAGUUGGUGGGGUAAUGGCCCACCAAGCCGACGAUCCAUAGCUGGUUUGAGAGGAUGAUCAGCCACACUGGGACUGAGACACGGCCCAGACUCCUACGGGAGGCAGCAGUGGGGAAUCUUAGACAAUGGGGGCAACCCUGAUCUAGCCAUGCCGCGUGAGUGAUGAAGGCCUUAGGGUUGUAAAGCUCUUUCAGCUGGGAAGAUAAUGACGGUACCAGCAGAAGAAGCCCCGGCUAACUCCGUG
Molecule: ribosomal RNA, 432 nt
Filed under: uncultured bacterium
Lineage: Bacteria
Description: partial 16S ribosomal RNA
Rfam family: Bacterial small subunit ribosomal RNA
Source: RNAcentral